Molecule: long non-coding RNA, 458 nt
Organism: Rosa chinensis
Lineage: Eukaryota; Viridiplantae; Streptophyta; Magnoliopsida; Rosales; Rosaceae
Exons: 3
Source: RefSeq, a predicted model, not a curated record
UUGAAGCAAUCUAAGGCCGCCCCGGAUAGACUUUUGAAAUUGCAUAGGCCAGGUAAUGGAUGGUAAUUUUAGGUUGGGUCAUGAGGCAUGUGGUGGGCUCAAAGAGAUCUUGUUGAGCAAUGAUCUGUGUUGGAAAUAGAGUGAUACAAUUGAUCCGGGAGUAUGGAAUAAAAUGAAGCUUUUUGAUGCACAAUAGUCCACUUCUAGUGCUUUGGCUGGCAUUGGAACUGAGGCAUUAUGCAGAAGCUAUCUGGGCUGCAACGGAGUUUGGUGACUCCUAGGUUGGUAGAUGCAGUGAAGUUAUCAUUCAAAUUACUUCUCGAUCAGGAGAACUUGGUAUCAAUGUGGAGGUAAGUUUGCACUAUGAUCUUCUUUUUAAGCCAAGUUAGUCAUUCAUUGUCAAGCACUUCUCAUUUCUUAGAACUGAGUCAUUGUUUUGCCCUGCAGGUGCCGCAAGC